ACUUGUGUGAUUUGUGUGUUGCUUAUGGUGCAAUGCCUGUUUUGGAAGAAGUAUUGUCAUCAAGAAUGUCUUCAGCGGCAUCAGAAGAUGUGUCUGUGAAUCAGCAUACAGUGGCCGCACUUGCUCGCAUCUGUACCUAUUGUGAAACUCAUAAGCAUUUUAAUUUUCUAUACAAUUUCCAGGUACGGUAUAUUUCCUUGAACUCUACCGUCUUUUACAUCUAAUAUCUAAAGAAGCAAGUAGACAACAUAGACUAUUUAAUUUGAUGAAUGUAUCUGAUGCAAGAGUUAUUUUGCAUGAUGAGAAAAGCUGGAAAUAAUAGGUUUAUGAUCUCUAUGAAGGAUAAGAUUAACUUCAAUAGUUUAAAAAGAACCAGCAAGAGGUCCCGUUUUUAUAUGUAUGUAGCUGACAUCAUGAUAUGUAUCUGUCUGGUUAAGUACAUGUCAGCAUAAGUCAAAGUUGCCAAGAUUUUUUACAUCAUCAAAUAUGGGCAACCACCCCUCUCAACCUCAGCUAUAAUUAAACUAGUCUAAGUGUCUAACCUUACAUUUUCUGCUUAUCAAUAAUAUCCUGUAAGAAAAAGUUUAGUUUUCUUAGGGUUCUGUUUGGAGGUGCUUCAGUACACAACAAGAGUGCAUACUGCAUAAACUCCAAAAGGAGAUCUUUUGAGCUGGUAAAUCGACAAUGAAGAGGAAAAUUAUAAAACGCUAUGUAGAAGAGUUUUCAAAAGAAAUUUAGUUUAAACAGAUAUGAUAAGUCAUCUUGUUAUAAACAUUUCAAAAACCUUAGCUUAAUCUUUUGCUAAUAUUGUAAAUUCUGACCAUCAUAAAAUGAUAAUUGGUUUUCAAUAUUUUGUUUAAAAUUUACUAUAAAUACAAAGGGUUUAGUUUUUUGCCAGGGCUUUGAACUAGUUUAGUAUAUGCACAUUACCUGCCGUAAAACCCUAACUAAUACUUAAGUUCUGCUGCAGAACCCUACCUAAUACUAGAAAUAAGGUAAGGGUUCUAUGGUUCUCUCUCUAAUGGUUCUCUCUUGAACAUGACCCAUAUUUACUACUCCAUUUAUGUUACUAAGUGCUAGUGGUGGUUAUCUAUUAAGAUCUUCAUCAUAGCACCAUAAUUAUGCGAGGUUGUAACUUCUUAUACUUCUACUUUGCAGUAUGCACGACAGCAUUUGCUUAGCUUUAUGUUCAAACAUGGGCACUUCAAAGAUGCUUGCUUCUUGUUCUUUCCUCCGAAUGCUGUUCCUUCUCCUCCCCAACCAUCAUCACUUGGCUUGGUUACUUCAUCAUCUUCCCCUCAGAGACCAGACCCUUUGGCUACUGAUUAUGGAAUUAUUGAUGACUUGUGUGAUUUGUGUGUUGCUUAUGGUGCAAUGCCUGUUUUGGAAGAAGUAUUGUCAUCAAGAAUGUCUUCAGCGGCAUCAGAAGAUGUGUCUGUGAAUCAGCAUACAGUGGCCGCACUUGCUCGCAUCUGUACCUAUUGUGAAACUCAUAAGCAUUUUAAUUUUCUAUACAAUUUCCAGGUACGGUAUAUUUCCUUGAACUCUACCGUCUUUUACAUCUAAUAUCUAAAGAAGCAAGUAGACAACAUAGACUAUUUAAUUUGAUGAAUGUAUCUGAUGCAAGAGUUAUUUUGCAUGAUGAGAAAAGCUGGAAAUAAUAGGUUUAUGAUCUCUAUGAA
Molecule: long non-coding RNA, 1682 nt
Filed under: Daucus carota (carrot)
Lineage: Eukaryota; Viridiplantae; Streptophyta; Magnoliopsida; Apiales; Apiaceae
Description: long non-coding RNA (DCAR_LNC001316)
Source: RNAcentral